GAUGAACGCUGGCGGCGUGCCUAAUACAUGCAAGUCGAGCGAACGGACGAGAAGCUUGCUUCUCUGAUGUUAGCGGCUGACGGGUGAGUAACACGUGGAUAACCUACCUAUAAGACUGGGAUAACUUCGGGAAACCGGAGCUAAUACCGGAUGAUAUUUUGAACCGCAUGGUUCAAAAGUGAAAGACGGUCUUGCUGUCACUUAUAGAUGGAUCCGCGCUGCAUUAGCUAGUUGGUAAGGUAACGGCUUACCAAGGCAACGAUGCAUAGCCGACCUGAGAGGCUGAACGGCCACACGGGAACGGAGACACGGUCCAGACUCCUACGGGAGGCAGCAGUAGGGAAUCUUCCGCGAUGGGCGAAAGCCUGACGGAGCAACGCCGCGUGAGGGAUGAAGGUCUUCGGAUCGUAAAACUCUGUUAUUAGGGAAGAACAUAUGUGUAAGUAACUGUGCACAUCUUGACGGUACCUAAUCAGAAAGCCACGGCUAACUACGUG
RNAcentral lists this ribosomal RNA (497 nucleotides) under uncultured bacterium. RNAcentral's name for it is "partial 16S ribosomal RNA". It matches the Rfam family "Bacterial small subunit ribosomal RNA", at positions 28 to 507 of the family's 1533-position model. The record is from RNAcentral.